RNAcentral lists this ribosomal RNA (301 nucleotides) under uncultured bacterium. Its description in RNAcentral is "partial 16S ribosomal RNA". It matches the Rfam family "Bacterial small subunit ribosomal RNA", at positions 509 to 807 of the family's 1533-position model. The record is from RNAcentral.
CAGUAGCCACGGGAAUACGUAGGUGGCAAGCGUUGUCCGGAAUUAUUGGGCGUAAAGGGCCCGCAGGCGGUUUCUUAAGUCUGAUGUGAAAGCCCCCGGCUCAACCGGGGAGGGUCAUUGGAAACUGGGAAACUUGAGUGCAGAAGAGGAGAGUGGAAUUCCACGUGUAGCGGUGAAAUGCGUAGAGAUGUGGAGGAACACCAGUGGCGAAGGCGACUCUCUGGUCUGUAACUGACGCUGAGGAGCGAAAGCGUGGGGAGCGAACAGGAUUAGAGACCCCCUUAGUCCCUGUCUCUUAUAC